GACGAACCGUGCAAACGUUGUUCGGAUUCACUGGGCUUAAAGGGCGCGUAGGCGGGCUGUCAAGUCCGGGGUGAAAUCUUUCGGCUCAACCGGAAAACUGCCUUGGAUACUGACAGUCUCGAGGGAGGUAGGGGCAGACGGAACUUCCGGUGGAGCGGUGAAAUGCGUUGAUAUCGGAAGGAACGCCGGUGGCGAAAGCGGUCUGCUGGAUCUCUACUGACGCUGAGGCGCGAAAGCCAGGGGAGCAAACGGG
This 253-nucleotide ribosomal RNA is filed under the name uncultured bacterium. RNAcentral describes it as "partial 16S ribosomal RNA". It matches the Rfam family "Bacterial small subunit ribosomal RNA", at positions 524 to 776 of the family's 1533-position model. The record is from RNAcentral.